Molecule: long non-coding RNA, 1129 nt
Filed under: Capsella rubella
Lineage: Eukaryota; Viridiplantae; Streptophyta; Magnoliopsida; Brassicales; Brassicaceae
Description: long non-coding RNA (CRUB_LNC000057)
Source: RNAcentral
GGUGGAGAUUUGUAGACGUAAGUCGGAGUUGGUGGUGGUGGAGAUUUGUAGACGUAGGUUGGAGUUGGUGGUGGUGGAGAUUUGUAGACGUAGGUUGGAGCCGGUGGUGGUGGUGACUUGUAGUAGUAAACGGGAGAUGGUGGUGGUGGAGAUUUGUAAUAGUAAGGAGGAUGGUAAGGAGCCGGUUUGUGACAUUCUCCGUAAGGUUUCUUUGGUGCAUAAGCAAAGGACUUAGCAAUAAGUACAACUUCGUCCUUUGUCUUGGAUUUCACGUGAAGUUUAGCACCCUUGUUACCCCAAUGGUAAUCUGUGGGAAUGUUACAUGGCGAGCCCUUCGGUGGUGCAUGAAGCUUGGCCGUGCAGACAUCGCCACCGUAUUUACGGUAGUUGUAUCCUUUAACGGUGAUUGCGUAUUUACCGUUGUUCUUGGUCUUACCGUAUGCCUUAACCGUCUUGUCACCGGCCUUACAAGUCACUUCCACAACAGCACCUAAAUGACAAAAACAAAUUAUGUUAAAUCUAAAAUAUUAUUUCCCGUCCGUAUAGUUGGUAUCCACAAAGUCGAUUUUGCUUGUUCGAUCUCUUUGGAUUGCUUAAGUCAAUAACAGAUUCUUGUCUUUUUCUUGACUUAAUCGUUUUCUUUUCUCCACUAAAUAAAUAAUCUAUACUACAUGCAACCACCACUUUACAAUACAUAUAUAUGCUACUUAUUUAAAUGCUACAAGCCUAAUUAAUCAUCCUAUAAUCAUCAAAUAUAACAUAUAUUAAAUCUAGUUAACUAAGGAAUUUGAUAAGAUUAAAAAAAUUUACCUUCGAGAUGCUUCUUGUCAUGAGACUUUUUGGGGUGAGUCCAGUCAUAACAUCUGUAACAAUACACUUUACCAACAACUUUGAAGACAAGUGGAUGUGGGUGUGGGUGAGGAUGAGGGUAUGACACCGGAGGAGGUGGUGAUGAGUAGUAGUACGGUGGCGAGUAUGACUUUGGUGGUGGUGGUGGUGAUGAGUAUACGUACGGUGGAGGGUAUGAUUUUGGCGGUGGUGGCGAUGAGUAUACGUAUGGUGGAGGGUACGAUUUUGGUGGUGGUGGCGAUGAGUAUACGUAUGGUGGGGGAGGGUACGAUUUUGGUGG